RNAcentral lists this unclassified non-coding RNA (1071 nucleotides) under Hevea brasiliensis (rubber tree). The record is from RNAcentral. Lineage: Eukaryota; Viridiplantae; Streptophyta; Magnoliopsida; Malpighiales; Euphorbiaceae.
GUCUUCAAAAUACCUAAUCAUUAUUUAACAAGAAGACUUCAAACAAUCAUCCAACAAUGUAUUAAACAUCAAAUAAUUGUACUGAUAUCAUCACCAGAUUAUCAAGUUUUAUCAGAUGAUCAUUAACAUUAUAUAAAAAAAAUAGUAAGUACUUACCUGCCAUCACCAACAACUGCAAUUCAAUGUGACAAUCAUAAUGACUACAGGGCUACAGAUCAAGCUAUAAAACCAAAAGGAAUGUAACAAACAUAAGGACAAUAAAAAAGAAACAGGAAAUUAAUAUAGAUGACAGUGUUGAUUGGGUUGAGCAGUAGUCAUAGUAGAAACAUUGUUAUAACCUAGUAUACAGUAUGAGAAGCAUAACAAAGAGAAUUGAGGAAAUGUAGUAAAAAUAAAUGGAGCUAGGAAGAAAGAUGAUGAGGUACACUAGUCCAAGUGGAGAUAUGCCACAAUGCUAGGCAUGACUCAUGCACAGGAGAAGAUGCAAAGAUAGGAUUAGGCCCAAUUGAGCCAUUAUCAUGGAGACAAGUGAAAGAAAUUUUGAAUUGAUUGGCACUUUAUAGAGUUAAUGGGAGUGCCUUGACUUGAGUAUUGUCAUGUCUGCUCUCGCCAAAUGAGUAAAUGCUUCUUACACUUUCUUACAUGAGAGAAAUAUUGUGGCAGCUCCCUCUAUCCCAAGAAAAGUAUUAAUUAAUAGUCUCAUUGGACCCUUAAGCAAGCUUCCUAGUCGAUUGAUCCAGGCAACCUUACCUCUUUCGAAAGAGUUGAGUCUGAAUGGAACAUGGAAUCUAUGGGCAUUGUGGGAAUAGAUACAAUGAUAUUUUCAAGAAAAAAGGCAGCACCUAAAUUUUCAUGAGAAUAUGAAUAAAAUGCCAUCAAGUGUUUUCAAAAAGAUCAUUGUUUCCUCCAAAUAUGCAGCAAUUCAAAAGUUAUUUCUUCAGUUUCAAUAUUUCAAAUCCUAGGCCUGCACGUGCAUCUAUAUAAGGAUAUAUUACAAAAAUUGCUACUUACUUUUAUCUGAAUUAACUCGAGGUUGAUUCAAUUGCAGAAAUUAUGCUUAAUCUGAACCAG